AUCCUAUUGAGGCUUCAAAACCUCAUUACUAGUAAGCAUGUAAGAAAUAAGAACUUGAAAGGACCAAAUAAGCUCUGAUCAUCACAGAGUUUAUAACAUACUCUGUGAUGAGAUUGCAUAUGAGGAUACUAAUACGGUAGAAUAGUAAUAUGAGGAAACCAUGAAGGUGAUCUCCUUUCUUCAAAUUUGUGAGGAACUUACUAUGUAAUUUAUUGUCUUCGCCCCAAUUUUUCUCAAUAAGUCUUCAAAGUUCAUGCUUUAUUCUUUCUUUGAUUGGGUUUUGUAAGAGUUGUUUGAGUGACCUGUUUUUGUUUUGCGGUUUUCAUUGAGAGCCUUCUUAUAUUUGCGUCUUCAAACAUCCUGCCGUCCCAGCUUCUAUCCCUAUGACACCACUUCUUACUUGUUUUACUGUGCAUUGGUGACAAGUCACCAUUUCGUGAAGCAUCUUUCCUGCAUUUCGUUAAGAUAUCCUUUUCCUCCCCUUCGUCAUAUAUAUGACUUCCUU
RNAcentral lists this long non-coding RNA (505 nucleotides) under Nicotiana benthamiana. Its description in RNAcentral is "long non-coding RNA (NBEN_LNC025686)". Lineage: Eukaryota; Viridiplantae; Streptophyta; Magnoliopsida; Solanales; Solanaceae. The record is from RNAcentral.